RNAcentral lists this ribosomal RNA (486 nucleotides) under uncultured bacterium. Its description in RNAcentral is "partial 16S ribosomal RNA". It matches the Rfam family "Bacterial small subunit ribosomal RNA", at positions 30 to 507 of the family's 1533-position model. The record is from RNAcentral.
AUUGAACGCUGGCGGCAUGCCUUACACAUGCAAGUCGAACGGCAGCACGGGUGCUUGCACCUGGUGGCGAGUGGCGAACGGGUGAGUAAUACAUCGGAACAUGUCCUGUAGUGGGGGAUAGCCCGGCGAAAGCCGGAUUAAUACCGCAUACGAUCUACGGAUGAAAGCGGGGGACCUUCGGGCCUCGCGCUAUAGGGUUGGCCGAUGGCUGAUUAGCUAGUUGGUGGGGUAAAGGCCUACCAAGGCGACGAUCAGUAGCUGGUCUGAGAGGACGACCAGCCACACUGGAACUGAGACACGGCCCAGACUCCUACGGGGGGCAGCAGUGGGGAAUUUUGGACAAUGGGCGAAAGCCUGAUCCAGCAAUGCCGCGUGUGUGAAGAAGGCCUUCGGGUUGUAAAGCACUUUUGUCCGGAAAGAAAUCCUUGGCCCUAAUACGGUCGGGGGAUGACGGUACCGGAAGAAUAAGCACCGGCUAACUACGUG